Molecule: non-coding RNA, 148 nt
Filed under: Nomascus leucogenys (northern white-cheeked gibbon)
Lineage: Eukaryota; Metazoa; Chordata; Mammalia; Primates; Hylobatidae
Source: Rfam by way of RNAcentral
GCCUGGCGUGGUGGUGUGUGCCUGUAGUCCCAUGUACUCAGGAGGCUGAGGCAAGAGGAUUGCUUGAGUCUGGGAGGUUGAGGCUGCAGUGAGCCCUGAUGGUGCCACUGCACUCCAGCCUGGGCAAUACAGCAAGACCUUGCCUCCA